RNAcentral lists this long non-coding RNA (1189 nucleotides) under Equus caballus (horse). Its description in RNAcentral is "lncRNA (ENSECAG00000050132.1)". Lineage: Eukaryota; Metazoa; Chordata; Mammalia; Perissodactyla; Equidae. The record is from RNAcentral.
CUGGGUCUCCUUCCCAGAGCAUCUCAUUCAGCAGAUCUGAAAGGAGGCCUAAGAAUUUGAAUUUCUAACGAAUUCCCAGGUAAUUCUGUGAUUUCCCAAUUCUGGUGAUUCAAUGGAACUCAUAAAAGAUAGGUCCGCCUAUUUUACGAAAUAGAUUGCCUUGCUAUAGAUGAUUCUUGAUUGCUUUUAUAUUAUAUGAGUGCAUGAAUAACUCUGGCAUUCGGAAAUGGUAAUAUUCUCCUUUCCUAGAUCAAAUCAGAAAGCCGUGUGCAUUAAAAGGAGUUUUAAAAAAGGAAACUCUGCAUGUCUAAAGUUAAGCUGAAGCAUGACUACUGCAUUGGAGAAACCGUUCAAGAUCAGUUCAUCCCGGUGAAAAUAUUACUUCUGUAGCUAUGCCAAGGAAUUUACUCCAGAAGACUCCAGACCAUCCGCUGACAUUUCACAGUUUAAUCCCGGCUUCGGUUUCACAACUGGUGCUCAAAGCAGAAGAGGCGCACUGCGCCGUGCGAAUAGACAUUUAGAGCCUUUCAUGGCGGAAACAGUACCUAGCCCCUACUCCUUCCCAAGGGUGCCACGCAGAUUUCUGAGAUAUGAAAAAUGUGGGAAGGAAAGUUUCUGCAAAGCCCUGAUCCUUAGAAAAGCAAACUCCGCCGCCACAGUCCACAAGCCGCGCUCCAGCCUUGCUCCCUGCCAAGGAGCCGGCCAAGACCCAGACUCAGCAGGAGCGCGGGUGGUGGCUCCAGUUAAUGGCCCGCUUUCAUUCCUCCCUUCCCUGAACACUUUUAAACUUUUUUCUGGAGUCGACCCAAGCUCAGCAGAAUUUCCAGAUCCAUGGAAGUGCAGCAUGCAAGCAGCCCAUUUCCUGACAACGCUGCAAAGCUUCAGGGGACACAUUUUGUUAUUUCCACAUUUACGAGUCGAGCCGAAGCCCUGAGCCUGACUCCUGACCAGGCCAUCCCCCACCUGGGAAUGUUCCAGGGCUGAGCCGGGAGGAGAGGAUGCUAAACAGAGGAAGGAGCAUGCGCAGCAAAGUUAAUAAAAGUAAAUGUUCCAGUGGCUGCCUAGAUAGAAACACUGGCUUCCAACGGGUCUCUAAAAGGGACUGAGGUGUGAAGAUCAUUUUCUGAGCCCUGUUCAAGACUCUUCCCAUGAUAAUGUUCUGGCAUGAGCGCAAAGAAAGCAAAGUUUU